Molecule: ribosomal RNA, 494 nt
Filed under: uncultured bacterium
Lineage: Bacteria
Description: bacterial SSU rRNA
Rfam family: Bacterial small subunit ribosomal RNA
Source: RNAcentral
GAUGAACGCUAGCUACAGGCUUAACACAUGCAAGUCGAGGGGUAACAAGAAGGAAGCUUGCUUUCUUUGUUGACGACCGGCGCACGGGUGAGUAACACGUAUCCAACCUACCUUUCACGACGGGAAUAGCUCUUACGAAAGAAGGAUUAAUACCCGAUAUAAUAUAUUUGUCACCUGACUAAUAUAUGAAAGAUUUAUCGGUGUUAGAUGGGGAUGCGUUCCAUUAGACAGUUGGUGAGGUAACGGCUCACCAAAUCUACGAUGGAUAGGGGGUUCUGAGAGGAAGACCCCCCACAUUGGGACUGAGACACGGCCCAAACUCCUACGGGAGGCAGCAGUGAGGAAUAUUGGUCAAUGGACGAGAGUCUGAACCAGCCAAGUAGCGUGAAGGAUGACUGCCCUAUGGGUUGUAAACUUCUUUUAUAGGGGAAUAAAAUGCACCACGCGCUGGUGUUUUGUAUGUACCCUACGAAUAAGGAUCGGCUAACUCCGUG